This 253-nucleotide ribosomal RNA is filed under the name uncultured prokaryote. RNAcentral describes it as "partial 16S ribosomal RNA". It matches the Rfam family "Bacterial small subunit ribosomal RNA", at positions 525 to 777 of the family's 1533-position model. The record is from RNAcentral.
ACGGGGGGGGCAAGCGUUGUUCGGAAUUACUGGGCGUAAAGCGCGCGUAGGCGGCUUUGCAAGUCAGAGGUGAAAGCCUGGAGCUCAACUCCAGAACUGCCUUUGAAACUGCAUCGCUAGAAUCGUGGAGAGGUGAGUGGAAUUCCGAGUGUAGAGGUGAAAUUCGUAGAUAUUCGGAAGAACACCAGUGGCGAAGGCGGCCAUCUGGACCAGCACUGACGCUGAGGCACGAAAGCGUGGGGAGCAAACAGGA